AACUUGUUAGUAUGCUUUAAGUUACAUUUUGGAGUAAUUUUUAAGUGUACUUCUUCAUGCUUGCAACAGAAAGUAAUAAAACAUAUGAUAAAUGCAUUUAAAGCCCAUUUAAAACAUUAUUAAAUGAAGUGUAUGCAUACAAAAGGCUACUCUUGUAAUUGUGAUUUAAGUAUUUUAAUAAAUUUAUACAAUGUCACAGAGAGGUCCAUGUACAUCAAUGCAUUUAUAAUUUUAUACCAACAGCACACCAUAGGAACACUAGAAAAAGAGUUAUACACUGUAAAACCAAAUAGUAUUCCUUGCUAUAAAAAUACUAGUAAGUUUACUCUAUUUUAACCAAAAUGUUGAGUUUACUCAAUUUUUUUCAUUGUUGCUGAAAUAUUAGAACAGAUAGUUUCCAUAACUAAUGAAAUUUAAGUAAAAUUACUCAAAAUGUCCAAGACAUGCUGUUACGCAUGCGCACUGGGCGACAAUUGUCCCUCCCCCACGUCGCAGAAGCACAACGGCUGAAGAUUCAACGUGUGUUUGCAGAGGAUCUAUUUCGGUAAAAUCAAGAAUACCAGUUGAUGACUGCUGUGCAGUGGAAAUAUCGAUCAUCUUUCUUGAUAAAACCUCAGUAUAUCAGGAGCAACAGGCCACAUUUUCAGCUAAAAAUCUUCUUUGCUGUUCUGCUGAAGAAAAGUACUCAUGAACAUCUUGGGUGGCGUAAGGAUCUUUGCAGGAUUCAGUCGCAUAUCUCGGAUCUGAGUUCUGCGCAGCACUGGACACAGACUCUGCACUUUUGACAUUUUCUAGAAAAAAGGAUUUUAAAUUUCACAUCAAGUUAAUUAAAAGGUAUUUCUUUAUCAUGUUGACUGUAGUUGUCAUCUUUAAAUCAUGAUUUGCUUAUGAUUGUUAUCCUCAGCCUGUCUCUAUUUUUUCAUAGUCAUCUGACGUUUCCACUGCAGUACUUCAGGGCCUUUCAGUCAUCCUGGAGGAUGACCCAGAGGAAUUUUACAGGAUGUGUUUCGUAAGUAUUACUGGAUUUUCUGCUCUCAUCAUUUUGUUUUAUUCAAUAUGAAUAUAGUUCUGGUUAUGAAAAAUUGUCAAAGGUUCUGUGUAUUUUUUUUUUU
This is a long non-coding RNA of Labeo rohita (rohu), 1112 nucleotides long. RefSeq lists it as uncharacterized. Lineage: Eukaryota; Metazoa; Chordata; Actinopteri; Cypriniformes; Cyprinidae. The transcript is spliced from 5 exons. The record is from RefSeq and is a predicted model, not a curated record.